AAUAUUUUUAUAUUAAUUUUAAAAAGGCAGUUUUGUUUAGAUUAGUAACUAAUAAACUACAAGAAGUGCCAAGGAAUAUGCGGAUAUUAUUGGCAGUCUAUUCACAAUACACUAAUUUUUGGUAACUUCUGUUUCAAUUCUGUUUUUAUACAACUCUGCAAUUGUAGUUAGAGUUUCGAAAGUUCUCUAAGACAGUUCUCACUUCACUACGACUCACUGUUUAGUGCAUAAGCCCAGAUGUAAUUUAAUAUGCCACUUGCAGUGGGGGUUUUAAAGGUAUUUGUUAUGACUGUUGUUCACUUUUGUGAGCUAUGAUUGUGCUAAUGUAUGCAAACUUUACACAUCAAAUCUCACUGCAGCUGGUUACCUCUCUGCACAGGUGAGCACUACAGGGUAACGUGUGG
Pelobates cultripes (western spadefoot toad) is the source of this 404-nucleotide non-coding RNA. Lineage: Eukaryota; Metazoa; Chordata; Amphibia; Anura; Pelobatidae. The record is from the annotation of a GenBank genome assembly.